CCAGCAGAACCCCUCCUGCAUCCAGUUUGAUGACUCCAACUGGCAGCUGCACCUCACCUCCCUCAAACCCCUGGGCCUCAAUGUGCUGCUGAACCUGUGUGAUGCCAGCGUCACCGAGCGCCUGUGCCGAUUCUCCGACCACCUGUGCAACAUCGCCCUGCAAGAGAGCCACAGCGCCGUGCUGCCCGUCCAUGUGCCCUGGGGCCUCUGCGAGCUUGCCCGCCUCAUUGGUACGGGUCCCCAUGGCAGGGGAUGGCUGGCUGGACCCGCCUCCUAGAAGAGGCCCAGUACCAACUCCUCACGGGACUUAAUGGACCUGGCAGGGUAUUGCCGGGGCAUGGCCCUAAGUUCCUGUUCCCCGCCCUGCAGGCUUCACUCCUGGGGCCAAGGAGCUUUUCAAGCAGGAGAACCAUCUGGCGCUGUACCGCCUCCCCAGUGCCGAGACAAUGAAGGAGACAUCGCUGGGGCGGCUCUCCUGUGUCACCAAGCGGCGGCCUCCCCUCAGCCACAUGAUCAGCCUCUUCAUUAAAGACACCACCACCAGCACAGAGCAGAUGCUGUCCCAUGGCACCGCUGAUGUGGU
RNAcentral lists this small RNA (583 nucleotides) under Pan troglodytes (chimpanzee). Its description in RNAcentral is "retained intron". The record is from RNAcentral. Lineage: Eukaryota; Metazoa; Chordata; Mammalia; Primates; Hominidae.